This is a non-coding RNA of Lactuca sativa (garden lettuce), 364 nucleotides long. The record is from RefSeq and is a predicted model, not a curated record. NCBI's taxonomy places the organism in Eukaryota, Viridiplantae, Streptophyta, Magnoliopsida, Asterales, Asteraceae.
UUCAAUCACAUCUUAUAUAAACCUUUAAUACGAAAAUAAAAGGUUUACAUAUCUCUAACAUGAUGAGCAACCACAACAAUAUCAAUACUCGAGUCUUUACGACUUGCCAACGAUGCAAAUGCAUGGUACAACAACGACGAUAGGGACACAUUUUUAGACACUAUAUCUCCACCAUCGCGCAUUUUUCCUCGUAUCCUGGUCACCACUAGCCAGGUACAGGUGCCAGACUUUUGAGAAGAUGGAGUUCCUUCAAGACUCAUCUGUUAUAUUUUGAUAUGUAUAUUUUUGGUGUCUAUAACUUUGACAAAACACACAUGUAUGAAAUUAUUCUGUUAAUGCAAUGGAUGAUGUUGUUGCUUGUUUA